RNAcentral lists this ribosomal RNA (508 nucleotides) under uncultured bacterium. Its description in RNAcentral is "partial 16S ribosomal RNA". It matches the Rfam family "Bacterial small subunit ribosomal RNA", at positions 28 to 507 of the family's 1533-position model. The record is from RNAcentral.
GACGAACGCUGGCGGCGUGCUUAACACAUGCAAGUCGAACGGGCCUUGUCCCCUUUUUUUUUGGGGGUGGGGUUAGUGGCGAACGGGUGAGUAACACGUGAGUAACCUGCCCCUCACUUCUGGAUAACCGCUUGAAAGGGUGGCUAAUACGGGGUGUUCUGGCCUGCUCGCAUGGGUGGGUUUGGAAAGAUUCGACCGGUUUUGGUUGUUUUGGUGGGGGAUGGGCUCGCGGCCUAUCAGCUUGUUGGUGGGGUGAUGACCUGCCAAGGCUUUGACGGGUAGCCGGCCUGAGAGGGUGGGCGGUCACACUGGGACUGAGACACGGCCCAGACUCCUACGGGAGGCAGCAGUGGGGAAUAUUGCACAAUGGGCGCAAGCCUGAUGCAGCGACGCCGCGUGAGGGAUGGAGGCCUUCGGGUUGUGAACCUCUUUCGCCAGUGAAGAAGGUCCUGCUCUUUGUGGUGGGGUUGACGGUAGCUGGGUUAAUGAAGCGCCGGCUAACUACGUG